This 572-nucleotide long non-coding RNA is filed under the name Pan troglodytes (chimpanzee). RNAcentral describes it as "long non-coding RNA NONPTRT012453". The record is from RNAcentral. Lineage: Eukaryota; Metazoa; Chordata; Mammalia; Primates; Hominidae.
UGCUUCCUGGCCUGUGGGAGUGAGUAUGUCACAUAAACCUGAACCGUCAAAUAUGUACUAUCCCCUCUCAAUUUGUAGGUAAAGGGAUGGCUUCAUUAACCGAGUAAGGACUGCUUAAAUUCCAUUUUUGCUGCUUCUUAGUUAAUUUCCAUGGAUAAUACUGCAAUAUAUUCUGCAUAAACCCAAAAUAUUCUCAAACAUUUAUAAGCAAGGGAAACACAAUAGGUAACAUAGAUUAUUUUAUUUAUUAUCAAGGAUAUUCACAAGAUCACUACAUUUUAUUUUGUCUCAUACUGAUACAAACAUGCUUCUCCAUAACAACCAUGUUUUUAGGACCAUUUCAUUUUUGCAUGUGUGCUUUAAGAAAACUGGAUUGGACAUGAUAAUGCCCUAUAUGAAAAAGCAAUGAGAAGAUGUUCAUUUGUGUGACUCAUCAAAACUGCCAGACUGAAAAAUCUCAGGAUUCCUCCAGUUAUUAGAUAUCUGUCAUACAUGUUCAGUCCUGGGAUUCCAGAAAAUAAAAGGAUUAGAACACGGUAUAUAUUUUUCAAUUGAUGAGGGAUAAGAAAUAU